This is a long non-coding RNA of Mesocricetus auratus (golden hamster), 2650 nucleotides long. RefSeq lists it as uncharacterized. The transcript has 2 exons. Lineage: Eukaryota; Metazoa; Chordata; Mammalia; Rodentia; Cricetidae. The record is from RefSeq and is a predicted model, not a curated record.
CCUGCCUCUGCCUCGCAAGUGCUGGGAUUAAAGGCAUGCACCACCACGUCUCAGCUUUUAGAAUCCUAAUCUUAUAACAGCUAUUAACUUGCUGUAAAUGGUUAAAGACAAUUAAAACAUGUAGAUUAAUAGUCCCCUUGUUUUCUAACCUAAUUUUGUAUUGAUUCUUUGGGAAUUUCACAUGACGCACCCCAAUCCUGCCCAUUUCCCUGUCCUCCCAUAUCUGCCCCUCAUCUCAGUAGAGUCCCCCUCAGAAGAAAAUUUUAAAAGUAUAGAAAAACCAAAAAUACCACUUUGUUCCUCUGCCUUUCCUGCAUCUCCAACACCUCUUCAUUCAUCUUAGUGGCAUUAGAAGCUGCGGCUGUCAACGCAGGUUACACUUUUGUCCACUCAGCUUUAUUUGCAAAUGUUCAUUGCAGUGGAUUGUUCGGUUUGGUUCAAGGCCUCUGGUUUCUAGUACAUGUCAAUACUGGACCCUCUUUGAAACUCCUCUCAGAUAUGGAGAUCCUGUGACUAUGGCUCUGCAGGAUCAGUCCCAUCAUGUACUCUGACAGAUCAUAAAUGGGGUAGAUGUUGGGGUGAACCAACUCAGAGCCUUGGAUGUGUAGAAGCUGAUUUGGUCAGUCUUGGCCACUGGGACCAUCCCCCCACCAGGGCCAGCUCUUCCACACUCCUGGUGAGGGGUGGGACCAUAUCUCCCAAGUGUGGGGCCCACUCUCCUGUGAGGGGCAGGACCAGAUCUUCUGCUGCAGGGGCCAGUGAGGGGCAGGUCCAGCUCCCUCAGGGUCAGUGAAGGGUGGUGCUGGUUCAGCAUGGCCCUUAGAUUUCCACAUGCAUGGUUCCUAUGGCUCCCUGUGGUAACAUGGGCCACAGAGAUCUACACAGAACCCAGCUGCAGAAGGAUCAUGGACCCAGACAUGGCCCUUGGCAGCAGCUCAGGCCUGGACCUUACCAUGGCUCCAGCAGCCAUCCAGGCCACCCAGAUCAGUAUGACCCUAGUAGCAGCUUGGCCCUUGGACACCAAUAUGGCCACAGGUGGCAGACUAGACCCCAGGCAUCUGUGUGGCAUUUGGUGGCAACACAGGUCAUGGACAUUAAUGCUGACCCUGACCCUGGUAGGACCAGGGGCCCAGGCUGCAGUUUGGGCUCAGAUGUCACCAUGACUAUAGGUGGUAGUACAAGCCACUCAGAUUGGUAUGUACAGCUGCAGUUUUGCAGAAUCUUUGUGUAACUAUGCAAAGAUGUGUUGCAUUUGUAUGGGACCACAGAUGUCAACACAUGUCUUGGCUGGGGUAGGACCACAGACUCAGACGUGGCCCUUGGCAGAAGCCGGGCCUGAAUGUCACCAUGGCCCUGAGUGGCAAGCUGGCUACCUACAUCAGCCUGUUCCUCACUGCAUUUCCUUCUUCAGUUCUGCCUCUCUCCACAGCAUAAAGAACUGGUCCACUUCUCUUUCUCUCCCUUUUUCUACCGUAUAUUUACUCGUCAUAAUGGUGCCGAUCCAUCCGGCACCUUGUGGCUUUGCCUGUGGAUGUCUUCAGCUGGCUUGGGCUGUGAGAAUCAGGACCUGUGGGUAUCUUCAGCCAACCCCAGGGUGAUAGUUACUUUAUGAAUGAUCAAAUUUGGUUUUGCAGAUGUAAUUCAUUUACAGGGACAAGCUUUAUUUAGCCUCCUGUAUAUGUUUUCAAGACUAAACCUACACCAACAAAGUUUAUUUAAAAUCAAGUAUAUUUAAUAUACAGCUCUGAAAACUUUUCUGAGAUGUCCUGAAUAUAGCAAAAUCUUACUAUUACAGAGAUCCUAGCUCCUAGAAUCACUAUCCUAAGGUCUCCAAAGAAGACAAUUGGGGCCUGAUGAUUCAACCUGGAUUGUGGUAAUGGGAACCUCUGGGCAAAACUUCCCCGUGCCUCACCUGCUGCAAGGGCCUGAACAAACCAAGAACACUGUUGUACUGACUGCCCUACUCUCAAAGUAAGGUCCAUCCCACAGGUUCCUCCCUACAAGAAAAUCUCUAAGACCUGGGCCCACCAGCCAAAGCUCGAUGCCAUCCUGUGUGACAAAGACCUACAACCACUGCCCCCCAGUGAUGCCAUUAAGACCACUGGAGCCCAGGGCAACAGUCUAGGGAAUGGUUUUAAUGGAACCCUGUGUAGGAACGCUAAGAAGCAUACAUGAUGACAGGUAGCGGCUGAGGAACUCUGGAUCAACCUGAAAUGAUGUGAGUCACGUUCCUAGUACAGAAGGAGCUUCAGCAAAAGAGACACAAGCCUAGGUGAGAGUUUCUCUCUAAAGAAGCCUCCAACCAACCCAACGUCCAGGCAUCCCAUGCUGUUUGUGAGAAUCCAGGGCCAAGAGUAAUUUCUGGAAAUGUGCUCCCCUUCUGGGACAGAGGCACAACAAGAAUGGUGACUGUUAGGAUUCAGACAUCUGUACUGGCCUGCCUUUGGUGUUCUGACGGGAUACCCCCUCAGCUUCAGCCACUAAGAGCACCACCUGUGUCUAUUCACUAUAUUUCCUUUUAAAAGGGCCCUGGCCACCUCCCAUCGCCCCCUCUCUGCUUUCUCCCAUUGCUUCUGUGCCCAGAGGCUGGUGGUCUCCUCCUCCUCCUUUUUAUGAUCCCUCCCCCUAAUAAAAAAACCCUCUGUUUGAA